GCGAAGCGCCGCAUCCCUCCUCCCCUCUCCACUCCCGGCGCAGCCGCCGGAUCCAUCCACGCCCUCCACCUCUUUCCCCGGCCCCUCUGCCUCCCCCCACCAUGAGAGAGAGGGAUUGACUGCCCCACCAUGAGAGAAGGAGAGGGAUGGACAAAUAGGAGACAGGGGCAUGAGGAGAAGAGGAAGGAGACGGGGGCAGGAGGAGAAGAGGAAGGAGAGGCCCUGCUCCGCCCCCCCCCCCCCCCGCCUCGAACCAGCCGUUGCCAUGGAGAAGGACGACCAAUAGGGGAGGCCGGAGGUGGAGGGAGGAGCGACGGGGACAUUGACUCCCCCACCAUGAGAGAAGGAGAGGGAUGGACAAAUAGGAGACGGGGGCAGGGGGAGAAGAGGAAGGAGAGGCCCUGCUCCGCCCCCCCGCCUCGAACCAGCCGUUGCCAUGGAGAAGGACGGCCAAUAGGGGAGGCCGACGGUGGAGGGAGGAGCGACGGGGACAUUGACUCCCCCACCAUGAGAGAAGGAGAGGGAUGGACAAAUAGGAGACAGGGGCAUGAGGAGAAGAGGAAGGAGACGGGGGCAGGAGGAGAAGAGGAAGGAGAGGCCCUGCUCCGCUCCCCCGCCUCGAACCAGCCAUUGCCAUGGAGAAGGACGUCCAGUAGGGGAGGCCGGCGAUGGAGGGAGGAGCGGCGGGGACAGAAGCACCGGCCAUCGGGGACCUCUCGAGCCGUCGAGCGCGACCUUGAUCUGGUGUAGGGGAGCAGUAACCGCAGGGGGCUCCAACCUCUUCUUCGCGGGAGGCGGCAGGCGCAGCUCCUCCUCUCUCCCCCCACACGACAGCGACCCCAACCCCCACCCCAGCCUUGUUUGGAGGAUAUCGUCAGAAUCAGCUUCCUUGAUAAUUAUGUCAAAAUUUCUGGGAUUUGUGAUUCUUAUCGAAUUAAGAGAUCAUCUGUUAGCCUGUCCCUAUUUAUGAUUUCAGAUUAUUUUGGUGCACUUCAGUUUCAGAAAUCCGAUCCGUCACCCCUACUCUGACCUCGAUGGACUAUUGUUGUCGUUGUCCUCUGCCUUGCCCAGGACAAUGAUGGCCGGGUGAGCCAGAGACAAGCUGAGGAUCAACUAGCAGUUCUUCCCAACGACAAGACCACAACAGCAACAGAUGAUGUUGUAUCUCACACAAAGGAAGAGAGAAUAGAACUUGAUGUCAACGACCCUAGAGGUAUGGAAAUAAAAACACCAGAGUGAAACUCCAGAGGUAUGGCAUCUCAUGAUUUCAUACCCUUAUGUUCUUGCCAACAUUUACAUGUUAUUUUGUUCUUUGCUUACCAAAACUCAGAAGUACUUUAUCUUGGUUGACAUUAUGAUUGAUUCUGUGUACACUGAGAUACUACCGAGUCUCAAACCAGAGCUGGACAUCUCAUAUCUGUACAUCAGAAUCACUGUUGGGUCCAUGGAAGCUUGCCUAGCCGCUACUGUGCCACGUUGUAUAGAUACUGAACUUGAUUUCCUUGGUUUAUGUAACUAUUGAAGAUGUUAUAUGCGCAUACUCCUACAGCAUAGGCACUAAUGUUGUUUGAGUGCCUUUAGUAAAUUACUACAUUUUUAGUGAGGUUGGCUAAAUGUUUUUCUGCUAUUAACAUCUAUCAUUGCCCUACAUCUUGUCAGCUCUGCAUCCAGAGCAACGAUGCCGGCACACACGCCAGUUCUUUGUUCAUCUCAGUCGGCGAUUAUUUCAUUUUGUCUACGGCGAUGGGGUAGCUUCCUCUGCUCCGUUCGUGUGUUUGACGGACAACGUACUGGUCUGAAGGAAAGCCUUUUUUAUUUUUCAAGAUGAUGAACUGCAUUAUUUCUGGUCCUACUCUGCCUCUCAAUCAUUUCUUUAAACCAAGUUGAUGACCGAGCAAAUGCACUUCACAGAAGGAGAACGGACAGCCUUAGAUAACAUUGACUGUUCUUUUUGGAGCUCCUACAAAAUGAAGACAUCAUUAAAUCAAUCGUUGUUUUGUUCGACGUUGAAGAUGUCAGCUAAGAGGAUUUUGAGUACUAUUCUGCUCAUUCCAAAAGUAUGCAAGCCACACGAGGAGUGAUAUGAGAAAGAUGCUCUCAAACCGGAUCUCGGUAGUGAGAUGCAUGGAAGAGGAAAUCUAAGAUUAACCUAAACAAAAACUGCAUGUAGUGUAUAACGACUGCGACUGUCCAAGAUUGCAGUCUCUUCCAGAAUUUCAAUUGGUAAAAGCUCAUCCAUAAGAAAUGUGUAGCAGGGUAAAAGUCUGAUAUCUAUUGGUGAGCAGGCACUUUAUUUAUGAAGCAGAGAAAGCGAUCUAGCAUUUUAUUUGUGAAGAAGAGAAAGUGUAAGAAGGCAAGUGAGGUAUAUGUGCUCAAAAAGACACGCCAUCAAAUGUUUCCAUGUUAUUGCUGAACAUUUUUUGGUCUUUAUCCAACUGGUUUUUAUCAUAUCAAAUUACUGCAGAGCGUACUGAUUUUUUUGUCACCUAGCAACGGUGCCUUUCAGUUCAACUAGCAGUUUAAACCUCUGAAGGUUUAAGGUGAACAAUGAGAUAUUUUUGGGUUUGUUUGAA
Long non-coding RNA from Triticum aestivum (bread wheat), 2573 nucleotides. RefSeq lists it as uncharacterized. The transcript has 3 exons. NCBI's taxonomy places the organism in Eukaryota, Viridiplantae, Streptophyta, Magnoliopsida, Poales, Poaceae. The record is from RefSeq and is a predicted model, not a curated record.